Molecule: long non-coding RNA, 255 nt
Organism: Limulus polyphemus (Atlantic horseshoe crab)
Lineage: Eukaryota; Metazoa; Arthropoda; Merostomata; Xiphosura; Limulidae
Exons: 3
Source: RefSeq, a predicted model, not a curated record
CUUUACAAACACAUCCAAGAUGUCAUUCACUUUACACUAGAUUUUGGACAUCAAAUUUUAUGAUUUGUUGAAAAAUGUUCACAGAAGAGGUACUAGGAUGAUACCAGAGAUGGAAAGCUUUCAGUAUCCGGAAUCCCGAGUUUCUUCCGGAAAUUCCUCGCUGCUUAUUCGACAUGACGUUGGACAAGGAGGAAUGAAUUCGUUAUUGUAAGGUUUGGAUUGGAUAUGUCUCAUUCACCAAGAAGGUUUUUCAAA